GAUUAACGCUGGCGGUAUGUCUAAUACAUGCAAGUCGAACGAGGCUUCGAGCCGAGUGGCGGACGAGCGAGUAACACGUUGGAACCUGCCCCGAACUCAGGGAUAAGCACUAGAAAUGGUGUCUAAUACCGGAUAGUCCCGUAAGGGUAAAGCUUUUGCGGUUCGGGAGGGGCCUGCGGCCUAUCAGCUAGUUGGUGAGGUAACUGCUCACCAAGGCUACGACGGGUAACUGGUCUGAGAGGAUGACCAGUCGCGAUGGAACUGAGACACGGUCCAU
Molecule: ribosomal RNA, 277 nt
Filed under: uncultured bacterium
Lineage: Bacteria
Description: partial 16S ribosomal RNA
Rfam family: Bacterial small subunit ribosomal RNA
Source: RNAcentral